Molecule: unclassified non-coding RNA, 360 nt
Filed under: uncultured fungus
Lineage: Eukaryota; Fungi
Description: sequence contains ITS1, 5.8S rRNA gene, ITS2
Rfam family: 5.8S ribosomal RNA (bases 175-329)
Source: RNAcentral
AAGACUGUCGCUGGCUAGAUUCAUUUCUGGCAUGUGCACGUCCUUGCUUUUUUCGUCGACCUUUCUCUUUCUUUCUUUCACACCUGUGCACCCGUUGUAGGUCCUCGAAAGAGGAUCUAUGUUCUCUAUCACACCCGAUCGUCGUAUGUCCAUAGAAUGUAACGAAUAAAAUACAACUUUCAGCAACGGAUCUCUUGGCUCUCGCAUCGAUGAAGAACGCAGCGAAUUGCGAUAAGUAAUGUGAAUUGCAGAUUUUCAGUGAAUCAUCGAAUCUUUGAACGCACCUUGCGCUCCUUGGUAUUCCGAGGAGCAUGCCUGUUUGAGUGUCAUUGAAUUCUCAACCAUGUCUCGAUCGACUUC